RNAcentral lists this ribosomal RNA (317 nucleotides) under uncultured cyanobacterium. RNAcentral's name for it is "bacterial SSU rRNA". It matches the Rfam family "Bacterial small subunit ribosomal RNA", at positions 241 to 573 of the family's 1533-position model. Lineage: Bacteria; Bacillati; Cyanobacteriota. The record is from RNAcentral.
UUAGCUAGUUGGUGGGGUAAAGGCNNACCAAGGCGACGAUCAGUAGCUGGUCUGAGAGGAUGAUCAGCCACACUGGAACUGAGACACGGUCCAGACUCCUACGGGAGGCAGCAGUGAGGAAUUUUCUGCAAUGGGCGAAAGCCUGACAGAGCAAUACCGCGUGANGGAUGAAGGCCUACGGGUUGUAAACCUCUUUUCUCAAGGAGGAAGAUCUGACGUUACUUGAGGAAUAAGCAUCGGCUAACCCUGUGCCAGCAGCCGCGGUAAUACAGGGGAUGCAAGUGUUAUCCGGAAUUAUUGGGCGAAAAGCGUCCGAA